Molecule: long non-coding RNA, 264 nt
Organism: Trematomus bernacchii (emerald rockcod)
Lineage: Eukaryota; Metazoa; Chordata; Actinopteri; Perciformes; Nototheniidae
Exons: 3
Source: RefSeq, a predicted model, not a curated record
GCAGACAGGAGGGUGUUAAAGUCCAAGAAAGAAGUCAGACUGCUAGAAGCCAUUUUACAGCUGGAAGGAGCAGGAGGACAACAGGACUGGAGAAGAUGAGUGGUUUAAAAGAUGAGGAAGAGGACAGACCUUCAGUCUCCAGCUGGCUGUCUCUGAUGAGUGACCGGUCUAAAGACUGGUUUCAAAAGUUCAGAAGUGAACCUGGAUCCUCAGACACAAAAGGGAAGAGGAGAAGUGCUGCCAGUCAGACCAGAACUGUACGAG